GAUGAACGCUGGCGGCGUGCCUAAUACAUGCAAGUCGAGCGAACGGACGAGAAGCUUGCUUUUCUGAUGUUAGCGGCGGACGGGUGAGUAACACGUGGAUAACCUACCUAUAAGACUGGGAUAACUUCGGGAAACCGGAGCUAAUACCGGAUAAUAUUUUGAACCGCAUGGUUCAUAAGUGAAAGACGGUCUUGCUGUCACUUAUAGAUGGAUCCGCGCUGCAUUAGCUAGUUGAUAAGGUAACGGCUUACCAAGGCAACGAUGCAUAGCCGACCUGAGAGGGUGAUCGGCCACACUGGAACUGAGACACGGUCCAGACUCCUACGGGAGGCAGCAGUAGGGAAUCUUCCGCAAUGGGCGAAAGCCUGACGGAGCAACGCCGCGUGAGUGAUGAAGGUCUUCGGAUCGUAAAACUCUGUUAUUAGGGAAGAACAUAUGUGUAAGUAACUGUGCACAUCUUGACGGUACCUAAUCAGAAAGCCACGGCUAACUACGUG
This 497-nucleotide ribosomal RNA is filed under the name uncultured bacterium. RNAcentral describes it as "partial 16S ribosomal RNA". It matches the Rfam family "Bacterial small subunit ribosomal RNA", at positions 28 to 507 of the family's 1533-position model. The record is from RNAcentral.